Molecule: RNase P RNA, 438 nt
Filed under: Candidatus Kaiserbacteria bacterium RIFCSPLOWO2_01_FULL_53_17
Lineage: Bacteria; Candidatus Kaiseribacteriota
Description: RNase P RNA component class A
Rfam family: Bacterial RNase P class A
About the family: Ribonuclease P (RNase P) is a ubiquitous endoribonuclease, found in archaea, bacteria and eukarya as well as chloroplasts and mitochondria. Its best characterised activity is the generation of mature 5'-ends of tRNAs by cleaving the 5'-leader elements of precursor-tRNAs.
Source: RNAcentral
AUUUCUGCACUAGGCAGUCGCUGGCCGCAAGGCUAGAGGAAAGUCCGGACACAUACGUCGCAAGACGUAGGAUGGUAGCGGGUAACGCCCGCCGGGGUAAUCCCAGGGAUGCGAACAGAGACGCUGUUUUUCGAGAGAAGAACAGGCGCUUUACGAAAGUAAGGCGUAGUCCCGCCCUUUCUUCGGAAAGAGCGGGAGUGCAACGGCUAAAAUCCUACCUAUGUGCAAGGCCGAGCCGUUGGCGGCUUCCAACAUCUAACUUCUAACUUCCAACAGAAUGCGGAUGCAUUUUCGUUGUAUGUUGGCGGUUGGUAGUUGGGAGUUGCGUAGCGGAGAGCCGCUUGAGGUGUUUGGUAACGAACAUCCCAGAUAAAUGGCUGCCUCGCCCUAGAGAAAUCUCGGGCAAGACAGAAUCCGGCUUAAUGUGCAGAACAUGGA